This 359-nucleotide ribosomal RNA is filed under the name uncultured microorganism. Its description in RNAcentral is "bacterial SSU rRNA". It matches the Rfam family "Bacterial small subunit ribosomal RNA", at positions 9 to 351 of the family's 1533-position model. The record is from RNAcentral.
GAGUUUGAUCCUGGCUCAGGAUGAACGCUGGCGGCGUGCCUAACACAUGCAAGUCGAACGAAGCAAUCGGGAUGAAGUUUUCGGAUGGAUUCCUGGUUGACUGAGUGGCGGACGGGUGAGUAACGCGUGGAUAACCUGCCUCACACUGGGGGAUAACAGUUAGAAAUGGCUGCUAAUACCGCAUAAGCGCACAGUACCGCAUGGUACGGUGUGAAAAACCCAGGUGGUGUGAGAUGGAUCCGCGUCUGAUUAGCCAGUUGGCGGGUAACGGCCCACCAAAGCGACGAUCAGUAGCCGACCUGAGAGGGUGACCGGCCACGAUUGGGACUGAGACACGGCCCAAACUCCUACGGGAGCAG